UACGGAGGAUCCGAGCGUUAUCCGGAUUUAUUGGGUUUAAAGGGUGCGUAGGUGGAUUGGUAAGUCAGUGGUGAAAGUUUGCAGCUUAACUGUAAAAUUGCCGUUGAAACUGCCGGUCUUGAGUGCAAAUGAGGUAGGCGGAAUGCGUCGUGUAGCGGUGAAAUGCUUAGAUAUCAGGAGGAACACCAGUGGCGAAGGCGGGUAACUGGACUGCAACUGACGCUGAGGCGCGAAAGUGUGGGGAGCAAACAGGAUUAGAUACCCUGGUAGU
This 271-nucleotide ribosomal RNA is filed under the name uncultured prokaryote. Its description in RNAcentral is "partial 16S ribosomal RNA". It matches the Rfam family "Bacterial small subunit ribosomal RNA", at positions 524 to 794 of the family's 1533-position model. The record is from RNAcentral.